RNAcentral lists this non-coding RNA (30 nucleotides) under Rattus norvegicus (Norway rat). Lineage: Eukaryota; Metazoa; Chordata; Mammalia; Rodentia; Muridae. The record is from RNAcentral.
UGAUAUACAAACCAGCACUCUUUGGCUUCA